This 478-nucleotide ribosomal RNA is filed under the name uncultured bacterium. Its description in RNAcentral is "partial 16S ribosomal RNA". It matches the Rfam family "Bacterial small subunit ribosomal RNA", at positions 28 to 507 of the family's 1533-position model. The record is from RNAcentral.
GAUGAACGCUGGCGGCGUGCUUAACACAUGCCAGUCGAACGGGAAACCUUUUAAUGAAGCUUCGGCAGAUUUAGCUGGUUUCUAGUGGCGGACGGGUGAGUAACGCGUGGGUAACCUGCCUUAUACAGGGGGAUAACAGUCAGAAAUGACUGCUAAUACCGCAUAAGCGCACAGGACCGCAUGGUCCGGUGUGAAAAACUCCGGUGGUAUAAGAUGGACCCGCGUUGGAUUAGCUUGUUGGUGGGGUAACGGCUCACCAAGGCGACGAUCCAUAGCCGGCCUGAGAGGGUGAACGGCCACAUUGGGACUGAGACACGGCCCAGACUCCUACGGGAGGCAGCAGUGGGGAAUAUUGCACAAUGGGGGAAACCCUGAUGCAGCGACGCCGCGUGAAGGAAGAAGUAUCUCGGUAUGUAAACUUCUAUCAGCAGGGAAGAUAGUGACGGUACCUGACGAAGAAGCCCCGGCUAACUACGUG